GUUUCCGUAAGGUGGUGUCCCCCCGAGGCUCGCCUACGGAAGUCCCCGGCAGCGACUCAAAACAACUGCCCCGAGUCCGCCCACGGGCGGGCGACGCAUUCAUUCUGCCCUGGGAGUGCCCUGUACCGGGCCCACCAGCAGCUUCUUCAAGCUCACAGAUCAGACGAACGCGGCCACUGCGGGUGGUUUCGAUAUGACCGGCCGUCGCUGUCACCAGCCGACGCCCUUUUGCGGAACCUGCGGAAGGAUCAUUA
RNAcentral lists this ribosomal RNA (254 nucleotides) under Ramalina sinensis. RNAcentral describes it as "partial 18S ribosomal RNA". Lineage: Eukaryota; Fungi; Ascomycota; Lecanoromycetes; Lecanorales; Ramalinaceae. The record is from RNAcentral.